ACACGAAUACAUUUUUAGACUGAUGGGCUAAAGCAGCGUGAAACCCCGCCGAGACAUGCAGAAAUUGAAGUAUUUCGGAUUGAUCAUUUACCUUGUUCUAACUGUGCACUCUGUGAACGCGGGACUGCUGUCUUAUGGCAUUUGCCAAUCGGGUUGUAAUGCCCUGGCAGUUCCGUGUUAUGCUGCAGGAGGCUUCACCUUUGGUACAAUAGGAGGAAUAGGAGCUCCGGCCGCUGUUGCGUCAUGCAACAGGGGCCUAGGAAAUUGCAUGUCGGCAUGUUGGAAAUCAUUAUAUUCAUGGAGCCUUUGACCCGCACAAGAUAUCUUUAAGAUAUCAAAUAAAUGUCAAUGUAACACUGAUGAAGCCUU
This is a long non-coding RNA of Daphnia pulex (common water flea), 369 nucleotides long. RefSeq lists it as uncharacterized. The record is from RefSeq and is a predicted model, not a curated record. The transcript has 3 exons. Lineage: Eukaryota; Metazoa; Arthropoda; Branchiopoda; Diplostraca; Daphniidae.